Molecule: ribosomal RNA, 395 nt
Filed under: uncultured bacterium
Lineage: Bacteria
Description: partial 16S ribosomal RNA
Rfam family: Bacterial small subunit ribosomal RNA
Source: RNAcentral
AUACGUAGGGUGCAAGCGUUAAUCGGAAUUACUGGGCGUAAAGCGUGCGCAGGCGGUUUUGUAAGACAGAGGUGAAAUCCCCGGGCUCAACCUGGGAACUGCCUUUGUGACUGCAAGGCUAGAGUACGGCAGAGGGGGAUGGAAUUCCGCGUGUAGCAGUGAAAUGCGUAGAUAUGCGGAGGAACACCGAUGGCGAAGGCAAUCCCCUGGGCCUGUACUGACGCUCAUGCACGAAAGCGUGGGGAGCAAACAGGAUUAGAUACCCUGGUAGUCCACGCCCUAAACGAUGUCAACUGGUUGUUGGGUCUUCAUUGACUCAGUAACGAAGCUAACGCGUGAAGUUGACCGCCUGGGGGGUACGGCCGCAAGGUUGAAACUCAAAUGAAUUGACGGGG